Molecule: non-coding RNA, 27 nt
Filed under: Bombyx mori (domestic silkworm)
Lineage: Eukaryota; Metazoa; Arthropoda; Insecta; Lepidoptera; Bombycidae
Also listed under: 1 other name
Source: RNAcentral
UCUCAUUGGAUAAAUCAAAUCAGGUGA